UAAAAAGCUCGUAGUUGGAUCUGUGUCCCGGAUGGUCGGUGCGCCGCUCGCGGUGUCUUCACUGACUCUUCCGGACGUCCUGCCGGUGGACCGUCCGUCGGCCCCCCUCGGGGGGUUCGCGCGGGCGGCCCUGACUCCCUCCGCGCUGCUCUUAACCGAGCGGUUCGGUGGGCCGGCAAGUUUACUUUGAACAAAUUUGAGUGCUCAAAGCAGGCGGCAAGUCGCCUGAAAACUGUGUGCAUGGAAUAAUGGAAUAGGACUUCGGUUCUAUUUUGUUGGCUUUUCUGAACCCGAAGUAAUGAUUAAUAGGGACAGACGGGGGCAUUCGUAUUGCGACGUUAGAGGUGAAAUUCUUGGAUCGUCGCAAGACGGACGGAUGCGAAAGCGUUUGCCAAGAAUGUUUUCGCUAAUCAAGAACGAAAGUUAGAGGUUCGAAGGCGAUCAGAUACCGCCCUAGUUCUAACCAUAAACGAUGCCAGCCAGCGAUGCGCCCGAGUUCCUCCGAUGACUGGGCGCGCAGCUUCCGGGAAACCAAAGCUUUUGGGUUCCGGGG
RNAcentral lists this ribosomal RNA (553 nucleotides) under Ephemera strigata. RNAcentral's name for it is "SSU rRNA". It matches the Rfam family "Eukaryotic small subunit ribosomal RNA", at positions 620 to 1119 of the family's 1831-position model. The record is from RNAcentral. RNAcentral also lists the same sequence under 1 other name. Lineage: Eukaryota; Metazoa; Arthropoda; Insecta; Ephemeroptera; Ephemeridae.